GGAAUUGACGGGACCCCGCACAAGCAGCGGAGCGUGUGGUUAAUUCGAGGCUACACGAAGAACCUUACCAGGGUUUGACAUGCAAGUGGUAGGAAUCCGAAAGGUGACCGACCCUUCGGGGAGCUUGCACAGGUGCUGCAUGGCUGUCGUCAGCUCGUGUCGUGAGAUGUUCGGUUAAGUCCGCUAACGAGCGCAACCCUCGUCGUGUGUUAUACGUGUCACACGAUACUGCCGGUAUCAAGCCGGAGGAAGGUGGGGAUGAUGUCAAGUCAGCAUGGCCUUUAUAUCCUGGGCUACACACACGCUACAAUGGCAGAUACAAUAGGUUGCGAAACCGCGAGGUGGAGCCAAUCCUCAAAGUCUGUCUCAGUUCAGAUUGUAGGCUGCAACUCGCCUGCAUGAAGUUGGAGUUGCUAGUAAACGCAGGUCAGCUAUACUGCGUUGAAUACGUUCCCGGGGUUU
RNAcentral lists this ribosomal RNA (462 nucleotides) under uncultured Leptolinea sp. RNAcentral's name for it is "bacterial SSU rRNA". It matches the Rfam family "Bacterial small subunit ribosomal RNA", at positions 906 to 1382 of the family's 1533-position model. Lineage: Bacteria; Bacillati; Chloroflexota; Anaerolineae; Anaerolineales; Anaerolineaceae. The record is from RNAcentral.